RNAcentral lists this transfer RNA (89 nucleotides) under Pseudomonadota bacterium. RNAcentral's name for it is "tRNA-Tyr". It matches the Rfam family "tRNA". From Rfam's summary of the family: Transfer RNA (tRNA) molecules are approximately 80 nucleotides in length. Lineage: Bacteria; Pseudomonadati; Pseudomonadota. The record is from RNAcentral.
GGGUCGUGCGCAGCACUGGCGACUGCACCGGACUGUAAAUCCGGCCUCCUUCGGGACACCACGGGGUUCGACUCCCUGACGACCCACCA